This 870-nucleotide ribosomal RNA is filed under the name Kurixalus banaensis (Bana bubble-nest frog). Its description in RNAcentral is "partial 16S rRNA". It matches the Rfam family "Bacterial large subunit ribosomal RNA", at positions 1493 to 2597 of the family's 2925-position model. Lineage: Eukaryota; Metazoa; Chordata; Amphibia; Anura; Rhacophoridae. The record is from RNAcentral.
UUUAAAAAGCGUUAAAGCUUAAUUUAAUUAAAUAAAAAUUCCCCAAAUAAUCAUGAACCCUCCUCCCCCACUGAAUGAUCUCAUAAUAUAUGAAAAACAUCAUGCUAGAACUAGUAACAAGAAUCUAAAGUUCUCCUAAAUGUAAACAUAAACCAAAAUGGAUACCCCAUUGGUAAUUAACGAAAUUGAGUCACCUACAGCAACACAUCAAGAAAAACCUGAAUUUCCAAUCGUUAACCUAACACCAGCACAUUUCCGGAAAGAUUAAAAGAAAAAGAAGGAACUCGGCAAACUUCCACCCCGCCUGUUUACCAAAAACAUCGCCUCUUGACACUAAUAGGAGGUCCAGCCUGCCCAGUGACAAAGUUCAACGGCCGCGGUACCCUAACCGCGCGAAGGUAGCAUAAUCACUUGUUCCUUAAAUAGGGACUUGUAUCAACGGCAUCACGAGGGUCGCACUGUCUCCUUUUUCUAAUCAGUGAAACUGAUCUCCCCGUGAAAAAGCGGGGAUAAACAUAUUAGACGAGAAGACCCCAUGGAGCUUUAAACCCACAGCAACCAAACUACAAACUUCUAUAAACCUCAAAGGAAAUGCCUAACGGUUUUAGGUUGGGGUGACCGCGGAGUAAAAAAUAACCUCCACAACGCAUAAACCUAAAUUUUUAUUUAAGAGCUACAUCUCUAAAAACUAGCACACUAACGUACACUGAUCCGACAAUCGAUUAAUGGACCAAGUUACCCUGGGGAUAACAGCGCAAUCUAUUUCAAGAGUCCAUAUCGACAAAUAGGCUUACGACCUCGAUGUUGGAUCAGGGUAUCCCAGUGGUGCAGCCGCUACUAAUGGUUCGUUUGUUCAACGAUUAAAACCCU